UACAGAGGGGGCGAGCGUUGUUCGGAAUUACUGGGCGUAAAGGGCGCGUAGGCGGCCCGCUAAGUCGAACGUGAAAUCCCCAGGCUCAACCUGGGAACUGCGUCCGAUACUGGCAGGCUUGAAUCCGGGAGAGGGAUGUGGAAUUCCAGGUGUAGCGGUGAAAUGCGUAGAUAUCGGGAGGAACACCAGUGGCGAAGGCGGCUAUCUGGACGAACACUGACGCUGAAGUUCGAAAGCGUGGGGAGCAAACAGG
RNAcentral lists this ribosomal RNA (253 nucleotides) under uncultured bacterium. RNAcentral describes it as "partial 16S ribosomal RNA". It matches the Rfam family "Bacterial small subunit ribosomal RNA", at positions 524 to 776 of the family's 1533-position model. The record is from RNAcentral.